UUGCACAAUCCGUUAAUUUGUAAUAAGGGAUUCGAUUUCAUCACGCUACAAAAUAAUUAAAAAGCAACGAUACCUAUUCAAAAAAUUCUACAUCGUACUUAUCUAACUGAUUAAAAAAUCUGAUUCAGCGAUCAUUCGAUCUUCCAAUCAUCCAAUCGUAAGCACAAACUACACGAAUAUCAACCUAAUCACGAUUAACUUCAGUCAAAAUUAAUAAUUAAUCUCUACCAUACCAAAAUAUUUGAUAAUUUUUAUUAAAUUCCAAAUUCAAAUUAGUUUUGGUUCACAUUUUCAAUCAUUCUCACUCUCAGUAAUAUUUCAAAGAAUCCAGCGAGUGGUUUGAUUUUUCUACAGUUGUUUCGUUCAGUAAAAAACAUCUAAAGAAUUUCCAAGGUUCCAGGAAGAAACAUCUAAAGAAUUUCCAAAGUUUCCAAGUUACAAUAAUUUGCAGUGGUGAGUUAAGUACACUACUCUUGCUCUGUAUAGCUUUCUUUGAUUUCAUAUACUUUGUAGACUGUGAAAAUAGGUUUCAAAAUUGAACAAGUUUCUGUUUGGUGCACUGCUCAGUUUCUGUUUGUUUUAAUUUUGGGAUACUUACGAGUACCUACAAAAAUGGUGUCCGGUUAAUAAUAUUGUCAUUUGUUUCAGUUAAGAUUGCUAUGAUGGAAGUAAUGAAGUCAUUACAUACAAUACAUCAUUAUCAACUAUAAGAAUGGUGAGUACCUAUUUAAGCCUAUCCAGUAGAAAAAUUGUCAACCUAACAUACACAUAACUAAUCAUAUCCUUAUUUUAGAAUGCGAUUAUGAUAUCAUUGCUUGAUGAAAAAAAAAGCGAAACGAAAGAAUCAUCGCCAUAAAAUUCGAAAUGAAUAAAAACGAGACACAACUACAGAAAAACUUAAACUGGAAACCGAUAAGAACGAAAGACAACUAUUAAAGAAACAUGGCUACAAAAUUCGAGAGGAUAAUCAAGAAGUGAAUAAUUUUCUAAUCUUGCGAAAUCGGGAUGCCCAUCAAGCUCUCAGCUCUGACGAACGGGAAGAAGCGUAUCCGAAGAGUUGUUGGAAGCUAGCAGCAAUGGAGGACAAAAAGGCUGUGGUACCACUUUUAUACUCAAAUUUUCCAAUGUACCUUAUGAAAACAAUAAGACUGGAAUCAAAAAAGAGGAAACACUCUCUGGUGCUAAAUGAACAGCAUUCCCCAAGUUGCCUAUAGUUCCCAACUAAAGUACGAGCAGAUUAGAAGAACAAGAAAGUUCUUUCUAUUUGAAAAUUCGAAAAGGCUUAUGCUGCUUCAUCAACAUUUUGUGAAGAUUAGGAGGACCACAGGAUGACCAACGUGAAGAAGCGUAUCCCAAGUUGUUGGAAGCUAGCAGCAAUAAUGAGAGACAAAAAGUUGUUUUAUAGCUUCUACACUCAAGUUUUCCUAUCUCGUGAAAAGCGACAAUACCGUGAUCACAAGGGAGGAAACACGGCUAAAUGAACAACAUUCGCCUAGUUGCCUAUAGUUCCCAACUAAAGUACGAGCACCUUAGGAAAAGAACAAACGUAUUCUUUCUGUUUGAAGAUUUCGAAAAGGCAUACGCUGCUUCUCAACAUUUUAAAUAUACGCAAAUUAAAGGAACUAACAUUGUUUGGGGGACCAAGGGAGUUUUCUAUAUAUAGUCUCGCCCAGUAGACAAGAUCUAAAGAAUGUUCGAUAGUUUUCAAAUUACAAUUGAUUUAGAUUGUCAUGAUGGAAAUGAUCUUCCUUGCCAUCCUUACCAACUAUAUGACGAAACCAAUUAAAAAUUAUGAUGAUGCGGAAAACGAGAAAUAACUAAACCUGGACGAUGAUACAAACAGAGUAUAUAUCAUAGGACCCAACAACAAGAAAACGGAAACGCCUCAAUGAACUCAUCAAAACACAUGAUCACAGAGGAAAAUUGAAGACUCAAGUUACAGGCGAUAGUCGAUUUAAAUAUUUGGUAAAAUGUCUUUUUCGAGGACAGCCACCCCGAGUGGAUGAACAAAGAAACGAAUACUCAGAUCGAGCCAAGAACGCAAAUGUUUCUCAACAUUGAAAACGAAAGAAUCAUCGCCAUAAAAAAUUCGAAAUGGAUAAGAACGAGACCAACAGCUUAUCCAGAAAAAUGAAAACUAGAGAUGGAUAAGAACGAAACACAACUAAAGAAAAAUGGCUGACGAGAGAGAAGAAGCGUAUCCGAAGUUGUUGGAAGCCAUAGCAGCAAUGAGAGACAAAAAGUUGUUUUAUAGCUUAUAUACUCAAGUUUUCCUAUCUCGUGAAAAGCGACAAUACCGUGAUCACAAAGGAGGAAACACGGCUAAAUGAACAACAUUCACCUAGUUGCCUAUAUAUAGUUCCCAACUAAAGUACGAGCAUGUUAGGAAAAGAAGAAACGUAAUCUUUCUGUUUGAAGAUUUCGAAAAGGCUUAUGCUGCUUCUCAACAUUUUAAAAGUACAUCCUACAAGAUCAAAAGAAUCGUGAUGAGCAUAGUGCCAGAAGUUACCUCAAAUAAUACAUAGGAUAAAAUAUCGAAGAAAGAUGCAGCAAUCACCUACAGCGUCUCCUCUAGAAAAAAUAAAAAUCAUGAAGAUUAGGAGGACACCAGACUUCAAGCAAUGUAAUGGAUUAAUAAUAUUAUGGCCAUCAAUAAUGUAAACAGCUUCUUCAAUAAACCCUUCGCAGUA
Long non-coding RNA from Planococcus citri (citrus mealybug), 2690 nucleotides. RefSeq lists it as uncharacterized. Lineage: Eukaryota; Metazoa; Arthropoda; Insecta; Hemiptera; Pseudococcidae. The record is from RefSeq and is a predicted model, not a curated record. The transcript has 6 exons.